ACUCAAAGGAAUUGACGGGGGCCCGCACAAGCGGUGGAGCAUGUGGUUUAAUUCGACGCAACGCGAAGAACCUUACCUAGGCUCGAAAUGGGAGUGACCAGCUUAUGAAAGUAGGCCUUCCCGCAAGGGACACUCUUAUAGGUGCUGCAUGGCUGUCGUCAGCUCGUGUCGUGAGAUGUUGGGUUAAGUCCCGCAACGAGCGCAACCCUUGUCCUGUGUUGCCAUACCGCAAGGUGGAACUCGCAGGAGACCGCCAGGGAUAACCUGGAGGAAGGUGGGGAUGACGUCAAGUCCUCAUGGCCUUUAUGUCUAGGGCUACACACGUGCUACAAUGGACGGUACAAAGGGCUGCCAACCCGCGAGGGGGAGCCAAUCCCAAAAAACCGUUCUCAGUUCGGAUUGCAGGCUGCAACUCGCCUGCAUGAAGCUGGAAUCGCUAGUAAUGGUGGAUCAGAACGCCACCGUGAAUACGUUCCCGGGCCUUGCACACACCGCCCGU
Molecule: ribosomal RNA, 499 nt
Filed under: uncultured bacterium
Lineage: Bacteria
Description: partial 16S ribosomal RNA
Rfam family: Bacterial small subunit ribosomal RNA
Source: RNAcentral